GACGAACGCUGGCGGCGUGCUUAACCCAUGCCAGUCGAACGGAAAGGCCCUGCUUUUGUGGGGUGCUCGAGUGGCGAACGGGUGAGUAACACGUGAGUAACCUGCCCUUGACUUUGGGAUAACUUCAGGAAACUGGGGCUAAUACCGGAUAGGAGCUCCUGCUGCAUGGUGGGGGUUGGAAAGUUUCGGCGGUUGGGGAUGGACUCGCGGCUUAUCAGCUUGUUGGUGGGGUAGUGGCUUACCAAGGCUUUGACGGGUAGCCGGCCUGAGAGGGUGACCGGCCACAUUGGGACUGAGAUACGGCCCAGACUCCUACGGGAGGCAGCAGUGGGGAAUAUUGCACAAUGGGCGGAAGCCUGAUGCAGCAACGCCGCGUGCGGGAUGACGGCCUUCGGGUUGUAAACCGCUUUCGCCUGUGACGAAGCGUGAGUGACGGUAAUGGGUAAAGAAGCACCGGCUAACUACGUG
This 468-nucleotide ribosomal RNA is filed under the name uncultured bacterium. RNAcentral's name for it is "partial 16S ribosomal RNA". It matches the Rfam family "Bacterial small subunit ribosomal RNA", at positions 28 to 507 of the family's 1533-position model. The record is from RNAcentral.